Molecule: ribosomal RNA, 716 nt
Filed under: Tomentella sp. Ecu210
Lineage: Eukaryota; Fungi; Basidiomycota; Agaricomycetes; Thelephorales; Thelephoraceae
Description: eukaryotic LSU rRNA
Rfam family: 5.8S ribosomal RNA (bases 278-432)
Source: RNAcentral
GUGUCUUCUUGGGUCAUUUAGAGGAAGUAAAAGUCGUAACAAGGUUUCCGUAGGUGAACCUGCGGAAGGAUCAUUACCGAACUGUCAACAGGAGUUGUUGCUGGUCCUCAGACGGGGGCAUGUGCACGCUCUGUUUACACAUCCACUCACACCUGUGCACUCGCCGUAGUUCUAUGGUCUGGGAGACCCAGUCUUCCUUCUGUAGGCCUGCUUUUUUCACAUACACGCUGUAAUAAAGUUUUAUGGAAUGUGUUCUGCGUUCAACGCAAUACAGUACAACUUUCAGCAACGGAUCUCUUGGCUCUCGCAUCGAUGAAGAACGCAGCGAAAUGCGAUAAGUAAUGUGAAUUGCAGAAUUCAGUGAAUCAUCGAAUCUUUGAACGCACCUUGCGCCCCUUGGCUAUUCCAAAGGGCAUGCCUGUUUGAGUACCGUGAACACCUCAACUCUCAUGGCCUUGCCAUGAUGAGCUUGGACUUUGGGGGUUUUGCCGGCCUUGGGGUCGGCUCCUCUCAAAUAGAUCAGCUUGCCAGUGUUUGAUGGCGUUGCAGGUGUGAUAACUAUCUACCGCUUGUGGCCGUCUGUCAGGUAACCUUCAAGUGAUGGGGGUUCGCUGGAGCUUACAAACGUCCUUCCCAGCGAGGACAGCUUUGAAUGUUCGAUCUCAAAUCAGGUAGGACUACCCGCUGAACUUAAGCAUAUCAAUAAGGCGGAGGAA